CCUACGGGCGGCAGCAGUAGGGAAUAUUGCUCAAUGGGGGAAACCCUGAAGCAGCAACGCCGCGUGGAGGAUGAAGGUUUUCGGAUUGUAAACUCCUUUUUUUAGAGGAGUUAAUUACGGUAUCUAACGCAUAAGCACCGUCUAACUUCGUGCCAGCAGCCGCGGUACUACGGAGGGUGCAAGCGUUACCCGGAGUCACUGGGCGUAAGGGGCGCGUAGGCGGGAUAGCAAGUCAGAUGUGAAAUCCUAUGGCUUAACCAUAGAACUGCAUUUGAAACUGUUAUUCUAGAGUAUGGGAGAGGUAGGUGGAAUUCGUGGUGUAGGGGUAAAAUCCGUAGAGAUCAAGAGGAAUACUCAUUGCGAAGGCGACCUGCUAGAACAUAACUGACGCUGAUGCGCGAAAGCGUGGGGAGCAAACAGGAUUAGAUACCCUUGUAGUC
This 440-nucleotide ribosomal RNA is filed under the name uncultured bacterium. RNAcentral's name for it is "partial 16S ribosomal RNA". It matches the Rfam family "Bacterial small subunit ribosomal RNA", at positions 338 to 795 of the family's 1533-position model. The record is from RNAcentral.